This 254-nucleotide ribosomal RNA is filed under the name uncultured bacterium. RNAcentral's name for it is "partial 16S ribosomal RNA". It matches the Rfam family "Bacterial small subunit ribosomal RNA", at positions 524 to 776 of the family's 1533-position model. The record is from RNAcentral.
GACGGGGGGGGCAAGCGUUGUUCGGAAUUAUUGGGCGUAAAGAGCUCGUAGGCGGUUGGGUAAGUCGGGUGUGAAAACUCCGGGCUCAACUCGGAGACGCCACCCGAUACUGCUCUGACUUGAGUCCGGUAGGGGAGUGGGGAAUUCCUGGUGUAGCGGUGAAAUGCGCAGAUAUCAGGAGGAACACCGGUGGCGAAGGCGCCACUCUGGGCCGGAACUGACGCUGAGGAGCGAAAGCGUGGGUAGCGAACAGG